This 425-nucleotide ribosomal RNA is filed under the name uncultured bacterium. RNAcentral's name for it is "bacterial SSU rRNA". It matches the Rfam family "Bacterial small subunit ribosomal RNA", at positions 354 to 796 of the family's 1533-position model. The record is from RNAcentral.
GUGGGGAAUCUUGGACAAUGGAGGAAACUCUGAUCCAGCCAUGCCGCGUGAGUGAUGAAGGCCUUCGGGUUGUAAAACUCUUUUGGCGGGGACGAUAAUGACGGUACCCGCAGAAUAAGCUCCGGCUAACUUCGUGCCAGCAGCCGCGGUAAUACGAAGGGGGCUAGCGUUGUUCGGAAUUACUGGGCGUAAAGCGUGCGCAGGCGGCUGCUCAAGUCAGGGGUGAAAGCCCAGAGCUCAACUCUGGAAUUGCCUUUGAGACUGAGUGGCUUGAGUACGGGAGAGGUGAGUGGAAUUCCCAGUGUAGAGGUGAAAUUCGUAGAUAUUGGGAAGAACACCGGUGGCGAAGGCGGCUCACUGGCCCGUAACUGACGCUCAGGCACGACAGCGUGGGGAUCAAACAGGAUUAGAAACCCCGGUAGUCC